ACGAACGCUGGCGGCGUGCUUAACACAUGCAAGUCGAGCGGUAAGGCCCUUUCGGGGGUACACGAGCGGCGAACGGGUGAGUAACACGUGGGUGACCUGCCCUCAGCUCUGGGAUAAGCCUGGGAAACCGGGUCUAAUACCGGAUAUGACUCCAUGACGCAUGUUGUGGGGUGGAAAGCCUUGUGCGGCUGAGGAUGGGCCCGCGGCCUAUCAGCUUGUUGGUGGGGUGAUGGCCUACCAAGGCGACGACGGGUAGCCGGCCUGAGAGGCGACCGGCCACACUGGGACUGAGACACGGCCCAGACU
This 306-nucleotide ribosomal RNA is filed under the name uncultured bacterium. Its description in RNAcentral is "bacterial SSU rRNA". It matches the Rfam family "Bacterial small subunit ribosomal RNA", at positions 29 to 337 of the family's 1533-position model. The record is from RNAcentral.